This 451-nucleotide ribosomal RNA is filed under the name uncultured bacterium. RNAcentral's name for it is "bacterial SSU rRNA". It matches the Rfam family "Bacterial small subunit ribosomal RNA", at positions 29 to 524 of the family's 1533-position model. The record is from RNAcentral.
AACGAACGCUGGCGGCAUGCCUAACACAUGCAAGUCGAACGAGACCUUCGGGUCUAGUGGCGCACGGGUGCGUAACGCGUGGGAAUCUGCCCUUGGGUUCGGAAUAACAGUUAGAAAUGACUGCUAAUACCGGAUAAUGUCUUCGGACCAAAGAUUUAUCGCCCAGGGAUGAGCCCGCGUAGGAUUAGCUAGUUGGUGAGGUAAAGGCUCACCAAGGCGACGAUCCUUAGCUGGUCUGAGAGGAUGAUCAGCCACACUGGGACUGAGACACGGCCCAGACUCCUACGGGAGGCAGCAGUGGGGAAUAUUGGACAAUGGCGAAAGCCUGAUCCAGCAAUGCCGCGUGAGUGAUGAAGGCCUUAGGGUUGUAAAGCUCUUUUUACCCGGGAUGAUAAUGACAGUACCGGGAGAAUAAGACCCCGGCUAACUCCGUGCCAGCAGCCGCGGUAAU